This 33105-nucleotide long non-coding RNA is filed under the name Triticum aestivum (bread wheat). Its description in RNAcentral is "long non-coding RNA (TAES_LNC024629)". Lineage: Eukaryota; Viridiplantae; Streptophyta; Magnoliopsida; Poales; Poaceae. The record is from RNAcentral.
GGGUGUCAGUGCCAAGCUGCCUACGCACUUGAGUCAACAAGAUCUGCGUACACGGAGACGCCGUCGCCCGUGACCAACUGAUAAGCGCGGGAUCGACGAGACUCGCCCUGGUUGAAGAAGCAAGAGGCGGGUCGUCGGAGUUGCUCACGGCAGGCCGGCAUGCACGGGCCGCCGGUCAAGUGAUUUGGGCAUAAACGCAGCGGAAAGGGGCUGGACUGGAUCUGAGCAAGUCAAUCAAACAGGAUUCUCCACGGCCUUAGCCGGCCAUGCGUGCCCCUCGCCUCUCCUUUUUUUUCCUGCGUUAAUGUCAGUUCUGUAUGAGAGCGAAUUUGCAACGGCACUUGCACUGGGUUCGUGCAAUCCCGUUUCUGUUCAUGAUUCAGCGUGCGUGCUAAUGGGAUUUUACAAGCUAAACCAUUGGAUGUUUACCGCACCAUUUAAAACUGAAUUUUGUUACAGAUCUGCGGUGUCAGAAACUGAAUCCCCAUACUAAUCUGAUGGCUAAACUCGGUCGUUUUCUUUUUGCGGGCACUAAACUCGGUAAAAUUAAAAUAUUCUCGAUCUACUGAACAUCAACAAGACAACUCUACAAUACUUAUCCUAAAAAAACUCCACUGGACUAAUUUUGGCCUUGAGUUAGGAAUUUAAAUUCACUGCAAUGCUAGAAGUACGUUGUUUGUGUACUAUGUGUGGUGGGGCUCACGCUCAGUCCUGGCCAUGGGAAGCCCGGCCCGGCCCGAAAAGGCCCAACCCGGCCUGGCCCUAGAUUUUGAGCCCGAUGGCUGGGCCCGGGCCCGUCGUUUUUGCGUUUUUCGGAAGAGGCCCGGCCCGAGGCCCGGUGGGCUUUUAUGCGUUCGGGUUGGCCUUGGGCCCAAAAACCAGGCCCGAUGGCCGGGCCGGGCCUGGGCCUAGGUUUUUUGCCUCGGGCUUGGCUUGGCUAGGCCCGGCCCGAAGCCCGGCCCGGCCCAAGGUUUGGCCAGGUGAGUCACGCUGUGUUCGUGCACAGAGCUAGACGUUCAAAGGGCCGGGCUUCUUCGGGCCUAGACUUUUACAAACUCAGCCCAAAAAUGUCUAGUGUGAGCCAGUCCUAAAUGCACUAUGGUUUCCGUGGGUGCUUGUAAAAUUUUCUGAUAAUCAUAAAAAAGAAAAGAAGGUGUUUGUAAAAGCAAUCUGAUUUUAGAAGGGGAAGUAGAAGGCAAAUAUAUUUGGAACGUCAUUUUAUUUUUUGUUGACCAUUCCGCAUACGGUAAAACUCAAACACAGUUAUGUUUUAGCACGGACGGAGUGAAACUUCACUUACAAAAUAAAAAAAAAUACUAGUGAAGAGAGGAGAAUUCGUCUCUUCAUAAGAAAAAAAAAACACUACAGACAGAUUCAUAAGAAUAAUUACAGCUUUCAAGUAGGUAAAAGCAGAAGAUUAUUAUAGUCAGUAAACUAGCCAACACUAGUUAAAAAGGAAGACAUCCAAGUGGUACUGAUGAGUGAUGACACUCCAAUUUGCGGUUUCUUUGACCAUUUCGUACUUUUGUUUUGCUUCUUAGGUGUAGUCACGUGUCCUCUAGUGAUCUAGUCACCGCCGAGUCACUGCAAGUUGUGUGAGCGAGCAAUGACCUUUUGCUGGAAGAUGUGGACGCGCAACCGAAGAUGUGCCCAGCCCGGUCAGCACCAUGCAGGCAAGUUGUGACUCACUUGCAUAUAGUCCUGGCCAUCUCAGGCCCGGCCCUGUCGGCCCACCCAGGCCCGGCCCUAAAAUCCAGGGCCUAGGCCCGAUGGGCUUGCCCAUGGGCCGGGCUUGGGCCUGAGUUUUGAGCCCACCAGCAGGGCCUGGACGGGCUUGGGCUUGGCAUAUUGUCAUUUUAAGGAAGAGGCCCGGCCCACGGCCCUAAGCCCUAAGGGCUUUUCAGGGCUUUUUACGAGAUGGGCCGGGCUUGGGCUUGAAAAGUAGGCCCGAUGAUAGGGCCUGGGUGGGCCUGGGCCUCAAUUUUCUGCCGUGGGCUUUUUCAGGCCCGGCCCAAGCCCGGCCCGGCCCGGCCCAUGGCCAGAUAUACUUGCAUACGAAGCGCAUCCUAUCAUUGUGUCGACCCCUCUCGGCGUCAAACAAAAACCAGCCCUUUAGCAGAAUAGCUGUUAUCCGCACUCUGCGUCCAAUACUACCAAUCAAAUUCUGAAGUCAUCAUAGAGGAAAGAGCUCUUUAAAAACUUGUGGAGGCGAGCGUGCAACCAUUUCCCACCGUGCACGUCGGCUACUAUACUAGCAUAGUAGAGUGUUCUGCACCGGUCACUGUCUGCCGAGCAAGAUUACUUGCAGACUCUAAGAUUACGUGCAUCUGCUCCACUGUUAAGCCAGCCACUACACAAAUUGGUCGCGCAGAUCUCGACGGAGCUUCCCCCAGGACGAGGCAAAAAUAACAAAUCUGACUUGUGAAUGAAAGUGUUUCACAAACUGAACCGUGUUUGAAAAUAUUUCAUACAGCUUACCCUUUUGUGUAGCGUCCGACAGCCAUAAGUCAUACCAUACUAUGCAACGCCUGGCUCUUAGACGCUGCAUAUCUGGCCAGCGUGGCACAUCUGAGUCAGAUCUGGCCCCACAUCCAACCGUGCAGCGCCUAACAGUUAGACACCACACAUGUAAUGUGCAGCGCCUUGUAGUUAGGCACUGCACAUUCUGUUAACAGGGCCCGGACAGGCCCCCUCCCCGCCCCCUCUCCCCCAUCCCAAUUCCCACCAUAUCUCUCCCACCCGCGAUUUCCCUUCUCUUCCCCCCUCAAAUCCUCCCCAGAUCUUGAAGAUCUGAAGAUUUUCUCCGUGGAUUUCGAACCCAUUCCCUCCCUCUAGGUAAUCCCCUCGUUUUCAUCCAAAAAAUGCUCACAUUUGCUCAUUUCUUGCUAGUUUGGGCAAACCCUAGUUUUUCAUGAAUUUUGAAAUUUGUAUGGAAAUAUGAGAUGUUUGUUUGCCAAUUUGCUAGGGUUAGGCUUCUUAGUGUAUUAGGGUUAGGGUUAUGAGUGUUGUUAUGUUGGGGUUAGGGUUGUUAGUAUGUUAAGGUUAUGCUUAUGUGUAAGAGCAUUUUUAUCCUUUAGUUGGUUUUGGUGAUUGAUGACAAUGCUUUUGCGGACUAAUCAUGUGCAUCAAAUAUUUUAGAUAUAUUGACUAGGCACAAGAUGAUUGGCUUCCCCUCAAAGGCUAUAGAAGACAACGUUUUUCUUCGGUUCUUUUCGGUGGUAUUGAGUCGUAGGGAAGCCGUACUAUUAAGAGGGGGUCCGCUUUGGAAAGGUUGGGUGGAUUCAUCACGUACACAUCGUGCCUUGCACCUUCUUUCCUCUUGCCUUUGGAGCAUCCUAAGUUUUCCUUGUCUAUGCAAUUAUAGCUCUUGUCUGCCGAACUAGGAAGUGCGGUAGUACUGCUCGUCAGAGCGGUAGUACCGCCCGCUGGUGCGGUAGUACCGCAAGGCCCCACGGUAGUACCGCUUCUGGUAAGCGGUAGUACCGUGGUCCCUGCUUAGUUCCGCAACUACGCGGCUGUAAGGGGCGGAUGUAAUUUUUUACAUCCGCACCUCCCGCGGUAGUACCGCGGCUGGCUUACGGUACUACCGCGUCGGGUUUUUGCACCGACUCCAACUCUGCAGAAGUAGCCACGGAUGUAAUUUUUCAUAUCCGUGCCUUCCCAUCCCUGGACAGCCCCUGCCUUGCGGUAGUACCGCAAGGGGGAGCGGUAGUACCGCGCCAGCAGUACUACCGCCCUCUGCCUUAGUGCACGUGUGGCUGUUCUGGUCUCUGUUGCGUGGGCGGUAGUACCGCGGGGCUCUGCGGUAGUACCGCGUGCCCCUGCGGUAGUACCGCGCCUCAGGUGCGGUAGUACCGCGCCUCAGGUGCGGUAGUACCGCGCUGCGCAGGCUGAGUUGGUGGAUAGCGGUUGGAUUUGUUCUUCCACUAUAUAAGGGGUGUCUUCCUCCUCUAGUUGACUACCUCUUCCACCUCGAAGCUCCAUUGUUGCUCCAAGCUCCAUUUUCGCCCGAUCUCCUUCCCUAGCCAAUCAAACUUGUUGAUUCUCUAGGGAUUGGUUGAGGAGGCCCCGAUCUACACUUCCACCAAGAGAUAUUUGAAUCCCCCACUAAUCCCUUAUGGAUCUUGUUACUCUUGGGUGUUUGAGCACCCUAGACGGUUGAGGUCACCGUGGAGCCAUAGUCCAUUGUGGUGAAGCUUCGUGGUAUCGUUGGGAGCCUCCAAUUAAGUUGUGGAGAUUGCCCCAACCUUGUUUGUAAAGGUUCGGUCGCCGCCUCCAAGGGCACCAAUAGUGGAAUCACGGCAUCUCGCAUUGUGUGAGGGCGUGAGGAGAAUACGGUGGCCCUAGUGGCUACUUGGGGAGCAUUGUGCCUCCACACCGCUCUAACAGAGACGUACUUCCUCUCAAAAGGAAGGAACUUCGGUAACACAUCCUCGUCUUCACCGGCUCCACUCUUGGUUAUCUCGUGCCUUUACUUGUGCAAGCUUAUUUGUGCCUUAUCUCUUGCUUGCGUGUAUGCUUAUUGUUUUUGCAUCAUAUAGUUUGCUCACCUAGUUGCAUUUCUAGACAACCUACUUUGAUGCAAAGUUUAAAUUGCUAAAGAAAAGCUAAAAAUUGUUAGUUGCCUAUUCACCCCCCUCUAGUCAACUAUAUCGAUCCUUUCAAUUGGUAUCAGAGCCUCGUCUCUUUAUUAAGGACUUUACCGUCCGAAGAGUAUGGUUGACGUCGUAGACGGUGUGGAGGAGCACUCCGGUGUGAAUCCGGUCUCGUCUACGGGAGAUGAGGGAACCGCGGUCUCUCGUGAGGAAUUAAAUGUGGCGUUGGACACAUUGAAAACCUCCAUGACUACUGAGGUAGAAAGCAUGUUUAAUAAAUACUUAGAAGGGCUUUAACUUUCCACCGCACCGUUGAAAAUGGGUGAUCCCACCAACAAGGUGACGGAUGCUACCUCCGACAAAGGGGAAGCUACUAGCGAGAAAGCUCCUUCUUCUAGUGGUAAAAAUGGCACCGACAUCUUUGCCCAUGUGGAACCUCCACCUGUCUAUGAUGGACCGCUCCCUUCCACUCAUUUGAAUCAUGCCGGCCCGGCCCCUAAGAUUGACAAGAAGGUAGAUUUUGAUUCUUGGGUCUAUCGUUUUAAGCGUCAUUUAAAUCAUGUGAACACUAACCUUUGGAGAAUCAUUGAAGAAGGUUUUUAUCCGCAUGACCGAAGUAACUUCACUCCUAGAGAACUUGUGGAUCAUCAAUUCAAUGAGAAUGCUCUCUUCAUCAUCCAAGAAGCAAUCCCACCCGAAGAUCUUCCUCAUCUCCGGCCCUACCCGUGGCCAAAGAUGCUUGGCUCCAAGUUGUUUCCCUCUAUCGGGGAAGCGCAAGCAUUCAACGCUCCAACUAUGAAGUGGUGCAAGAUGAAGCCGACGAGUUUGCAAUGAAAGAAGAUGAAGAACCUCAUGAGCUUUUUCGGAGAGUAACCAAACUCGCGGUCUCUCUCCGAGAUCAUGGUAGUAAGGACACGGAUGACAAUUGGAUCAAGCGCAAAUCCCUCAAGGCAAUGAUGCCCUACCACAAAGCCAUGUCCUCCAUCAUUCGUCAAAGGCCGGACUUCCACACCUUGUCCUCAAGUGAAGUGUUGGAUGAGUUCGUUGCUAUGAGCAUCUUGGACAAGACCGCCGACAAUGCGGUUCUUCGCUCUGAAAGAGUAAAGAAUCCCAACAUUGCGCUAAAGGCCAAGGUGAGUAUGGAGGAAGAGGAUGAAUAGGAAGAAGAGGAGAGCAACCUCGAAGAUACGAAGUAUGCCUAUGAUGAACACAUGGCUCUUGCUUCAAGGCAAUUUUGGAGCAAGAAGAACUCAAGGCCAAACUUCAACAAGAACUAUUCAAGUGGUGCAAAGGACAAGCAACGAGUGAGGACUUGCUUAAAUUGUGGCACUGUGAGCCACUUUGUUGCGGAAUGCCCUUACGAGAAGAGGGAAGACAAUGGUGGCAAGCUCAUCCGAAAGGACAAGGGCAAGUCGUUCCCCAACAAGAGCAACUUCACCAAGAAGACUCAUCCCAAGGCAUUGGUGGUACAAGAAGAGUACAAUGAGGAUGAUGACGAUGAUGAAGAUGGUGAGUCGGUUGCCAUGGCCUCCGUUGCCAUUGCAAUGACUCCACGGAUGUCUCUCUUCGACUCACCCAAUGAGAACAUCACCGCCAAGUGCCUCAUGGCUAAAGCCACCAACAAGGUAACCCCCAACAUCAAAACUACCAUCAUUAAUCAUCCUUCUUCGACGGAUAGCAUUGAUGAAUAUGAGGGGACAAAUGUGGAGGAAAAUGAGUUUGAGACCUUUAUGGGUAAACUCAAGGGUAAAUCCAAGAAGCACUUCGUUGCUCUCUUGAAACAACUUGGUGAAGCCAAUGACAUGAUCGAGGCUCACGAAGAUACCAUCUCUAAGAUGGAGGGGCAUAGUCGUGACUAUGCCGAUGAGAUUUCAGAUCUUUCCAAUGCUCUUGACGAAGAGCGUGGUCUUCGUUUGGCUCUUGAGGAGUCAUACAACGAUGGUCAUGCUAAGUUAAAGAAAGAUCUUCAUCAUGGUCUUGUUGUGUCCUCGUGUGCUAAACUCCGAGAAGGCAAAGCUUGGGAUUGAUCUUGCUAGACUCAAAGAGGAGUUUGACAUUCUUGACAAGGCUCACAAAGUCUUGAAGGGUGUUCAUGCUAGCCUCAAGGAGUCUCAUGAUCAACUCCAAGUGAAGCUAACUAAGGAGAAAGCCACCUUUCCUCAUAUGGUGUUAAUUGAUAAUGCAAAUGCUACUAACCCUUGUUGUGAGCAUGUGCAUCUUUUUGAGGAGAAUGCUAAGUUGAAGGAGCAACUUGAGAAAGGCCUUGUGUCAUGCAUACAAGGUGAGAAGAACCUCAACGACCUUUUGAGCAAUCAAAAGGAAGUUGUGGCCAAGGAGGGGAUUGGGUUCGCACCCAAGCCCAAGAACAAGAAGAAGAAUGACAAGACCAAAUGACCUCCUCCUCUCAAGCAAACUUUUGUGAAGGAGGGAGAGGGUGCUUCCAAGGAGAAGAAGAACAAUGCGAAGGGUGGCGGUGUCAAGAAGGGCAAUGCCACCCCUUCCAACAAAGCCGACGACUUUAAUCCUUCUUAUGUGCUAUGCCGUGCUAGUGAUGGGCAUGUUUAUGCCAAAUUUGUUGGUUCUCCUCAUGAGUAUAUUGAAUGGUCUAUUUGGGUUCCUAAGACCCUUGUUACUAACAUCAAAGGACCCAUUACAAAAUGGGUACCUAAAACCAAGCAUUGAUCUCUUGUAGGUGUUUGCUUCCGGUGGGGGAUCAUGGUUGCUCGAUAGUGGAGCUACAAAUCAUAUGACCGGAAGCAAGGACUUGGUGGUGGACGUGCACAAGAUUCCAUUUAUGCCCACCAAUGUCGAGUGGGGUGAUGCCUCGUCUUCUAAGGUAUUGGGACUCGGCAAAGAUGUCAUUUCUCAUGAUCUCACGAUCGAGAAGGUCAUGCUUAUUGAGUCCCUUGCAUACAAUUUACUUUCCGUUCGUCAACUUGCAAUCAUGGGCUUUGCCACUUUCUUUGAUAUUGAUACCGUGGCCUCUUGUGGACCAAAACUCUUAAAGUAGCCUUUGUUGGGCAUGUCGAAAACGGUCUCUAUGUGAUUAACUUUUCGGAGCGACCCACUAAGACCGCGACAUGCCUAAUGGCUAAAGUUGACGUGGGAUGGCUUUGGCAUCGCCGGUUAGCCCAUGUCAAUAUGAGAUCUUUGCAAAGUCUUCUCAAGGGGGACCAUGUCCGUGGACUAACGAAUGUUAGUUUUGCUAAAGAUCAUGCUUGCAGCGCUUGUAUCGAAGGAAAGCUACAUGAGACGGCUCACCCUCCCACAACUAUCAUUUACUCGAAGAGGCCUUUGGAGCUCCUUCAUUUGGAUCUCUUUGGGCCUCCAUCCUUUGAUAGUCUUGGGGGUAGGAAGUAUUGCUUGGUGAUUGUGGAUGACUAUUCAAGAUACUCUUGGGUGUAUUUCUUCAAGAGGAAGAGCGAGACCCAACAAACCGUCAUUGACUUUGCGAAUGAAGCCCAACGUCAACACAAUACAAAGAUCUUGACAAUAAGAAGUGACAACGGCACCGAGUUCAAGAACUACACCUUGGAUGAGUUUCUUAGUGAUGAGGGGAUCAAGCAUCAAUAUUCCGCACCUUACACCCCUCAACAAAACGGUGUUGCGGAGAGGAACAACCGGACGUUGAUGGAUGCGGCAAGGACCAUGAUGGCGGAGUUCAAGUCUCCAUACAACUUUUGGGCCGAAGCCAUCAACACCGCGUGUCAUGCAUCCAAUCGGCUCUACCUCCACAAGGGCUUGAACAAGACUCCAUAUGAGAUACUCACCGGUAACAAGCCCAACCUCAAGUACUUCCGGGUGUUCGGGUGUAAGUGUUUCAUUCUCAAGAAAGGUGUUCGGUUGUCUAAAUUUGAGGCUAGAGCUUAUGAGGGCAUAUUUGUUGGUUAUGCUACAAACUCUCAUGCUUACCGUGUCCUCAAUAAAUCUACGGGACUUAUUGAGGAGACGUGUAACGUGGAGUUUGAUGAGAAUAACGGCUCCCAAGUGGAGCAAAGUGGCACUUGUGAUGUAGGUGAUGAAAUUCCUCCUCAAGCCAUAAGAAGAAUGGGUGUUGGUUUUAUUCUACCCAUUGAGGAACCCCUUGUGGCCGAAGGAGAAGGACAAUGCUCCACUCAAGUGGAGCCAUCACCAACCCAAGGCCCACACGCUUCCGAAGAACAAAGUGAAGACCCUCAACCUCAGGAACAAGACCAAGGGCAAGAUCAUGCUCACGACGGUGGUGACACACCAAGUGAUGCCCAAGGUCAAGUUCUCUCCUCCGAGCAAGUUCAAGAUCAAGAACAAGCUCAAGACGGCGCUCAAGAUGAUCAAGUGACCGCUCCUCGACUCACCACCGAGGAGGAAUUGGAGCGUCGUGCCGCCAAGAUUGCAUCCAAGCUCUCCACCAAGGGUCAUCUCAUGAAGAAUGUGCUUGGAAGCAUUCAAAAGGGGGUAAGCACUCGUAGACAAUUGGCAAACUAUUGUGAACAUCACGCGUUUGUCUCUUGUGUUGAACCCCAUAAGGUAUAUGAAGCACUCGAAGAUCCGGAUUGGCUUAAUGCCAUGCAUGAAGAACUCAACAACUUCGAGUACAACAAGGUGUGGAGAUUAGUGCCAAGGCCAACGGGGAACCACAAUGUCCUCAUGGGACCAUCAUUCGUAACAAGGCACGAUUGGUGGCACAAGGCUACUCCCAAGUCGAGGGUAUCGACUACGGUGAAACCUUUGCUCCCGUUGCUCGCCUUGAAUCUAUUCGUUUGUUGAUUGCUUAUGCUUCUCAUCACAACUUUAAGUUGCUACAAAUGGAUGUGAAGAGUGCUUUUCUUAAUGGUCCCAUUAAUGAGUUGGUUUAUGUCAAGCAACCCCCCGGGUUCGAGGAUCCCUACUUUCUCGAUCAUGUGUAUCAACUCGAUAAGGCACUCUAUGGCCUUAAACAAGCCCCACGUGCGUGGUAUGACCACCUUACCGAGUUGUUACAAGAUCGUGGGUUUGAAGUUGGGCUAAUCGACCCCACUCUUUUUACUAAGAAGGUCAAAGGGGAGUUGUUUGUAUGCCAACUAUAUGUUGAUGACAUUAUCUUUGGUUCCCCUAACAAAGCUUUCAAUGAGGAAUUUGCCGCACUCAUGACCUCAAAGUUCAAGAUGUCUUCCAUGGGAGAGUUGAAGAUCUUUCUCGGUUUCGAAGUACAGCAAAGAAGAGAAGGAACCUUCAUCAACCAAGCCAAAUACACUCAAGACAUGCUCAAGAGAUUCAAACUAAGUGAUGUCAAGCCGGCGUCCACUCCAAUGCCCACCAAGUGCCAACUUGACAUCGAUCCCAACGGUAAAGCGGUGGAUCAAAAGGUAUGUCGCUCCAUGAUUGGUUCCUUGCUUUAUCUUUGUGCAUCUAGACCGGAUAUCAUGUUGAGUGUGGGAAUUUGUGCACAGUUUCAAGCCGCACCUAAGGAAAACCACUUUGUGGCGGUCAAGCGAAUCUUUCGAUAUUUGGCUCAUACCCCAAACUUUGGCUUAUGGUACCCAAGAGGAGCAAACUUCAAGCUUGUAGGAUAUUCGGACUCCGAUUGGGCGGGAGACAAAGUGGAUAGGAAGUCCACUUCCGGAGGGUGCCAAUUCCUUGGUUGCUCUUUGGUAAGUUGGUCUUCUAAAAAGCAAAGUUGUGUGUCUCUCUCGUCCACCGAAGCGGGGUAUGUGGCGGCCGGGAGUUGUUGUGCACAACUCUUAUGGAUGAGGCAAACUUUAAAGGAUUACCGUGUCAUUUGUGACAAAGUGCCUCUUUGGUGUGAUAAUAAAAGUGCCAUCAAGAUUUCUCUCAACCCCGUGCAACACUUCAAGACGAAGCAUAUUGAGAUUCGGUAUCACUUCAUCCGAGAUCACAUUAGGCGAGGGGAGAUCGAGCUCAACUACGUCAACACCCAUGAUAACCUUGCAGAUAUUUUCACGAAGCCUUUGGAUGAAGCAAGAUUUCGUGAGUUAAGGCAUGAGCUAAAUAUCAUUGAUUCGAGCAAUGUUGCUUGACCCCUUGCACACCCCACCACACUCAACUUGUUGUCUAAUCUAGGUGUAGGCAUGGACAUAGGGGGAGUGUUGUUCUCUCAAUGAACUCUCCCUCCCCCAUUAUGCAUAAAGUGAUCAACUCUUUCACAUUAGCCAUUUUUGAUGGUACUUGUGCUUCAAAGACGAGUUUUGGUCAUGGGCCCAAGGAUAAUUCUUCGCGGUGCCAUACCUAUUGACUUAAACAUAGGUGGCUCCGGCCACCGCCCUCUCCUUGGAGAGGUUGUGCCUCUCCUUCUUCGUGGCGCGCUCGUGCUUGUGGUGUCCAGUGUGUUAGUUCCUUAUUGUGGUCUUGUCACGCCCAAUAUGCGAUACUAUCCGAAAGAGACUCGAAGGUCCCACCAAGGAUAGAACCACAUAUUGACACGCUUUUGCAAGGUGGAUAUCAUUACAUCAACAUUACAUAAUAGCUGGGGAUACAUACAAGAGGCAUACAAUGCCACAAGAAUACAUUAAUAUACAUGAGAACAACAUCCGACUAUGGAUGAAACACAAACAGAAACUCAAACGACAUCCACCCUACUAGCCCAGGCUGCCGACCUGGAACCUAUCCCCUGAUCGAAGAAGAAGCAGAAGAAGAACUCCAAAACAAGUGAACAUCGCUCUCGCAUCAUGAUCAUCGCAAAACCUGUACCUGCAACUGGUGUUGAAGUAAUCUGUGAGCCACGAGGACUCAGCAAUCCCAUUACCAUGGGUAUCAAGACUAGCAAAGCUUAAUGGGUAAGGAAAGGGGGUAAAGUGGUGAGGUUGCAGCAGCGACUAAGCAUGUAUGGUGGCUAACAUACGCAAAUAAGAGCGAGAAGAGAAGCAACGGAACGAUCGUGAAACUAGCAAUGAUCAAGAAGUGAUCUUGAACUCCUACUUACGUCAAACAUAACCCAGAAACCGUGUUCACUUCCCGGACUCCGCCGAGAAGAGACCAUCACGGCUACACACGCGGUUGAUGCGUUUUAGUUAAGGUCAAGUGUCAAGUACUCUACAACCGGACGUUAACAAAUUCCCAUCUGCCACAUAACCGUGGGCACGGCUUUCUAAAGAUAAUACCCUGCAGGGGUGUCCCAACUUAGCCCAUCAUAAGCUCUCACGGUCAACGAAGGAUAUUCCUUCUCCCGGGAAGACCCGAUCAGUCUCGGAAUCCCGGUUACAAGACAUUUCGAUAAUGGUAAAACAAGACCAGCAAAGCCGCCCGAUGUGUCGACAAUCCCGAUAGGAGUCGCACGUACCUCGUUCUCAGGACACACCGGAUGAACACUACGUACAACUAAAACCAGCCCUCAAGUUUCCUCGAGGUGGCGCUGCAAGUGGCUCUAGUUUGGACCAACACUCCGAGGAGCACUGGCNNNNNNNNNNNNNNNNNNNNNNNNNNNNNNNNNNNNNNNNNNNNNNNNNNNNNNNNNNNNNNNNNNNNNNNNNNNNNNNNNNNNNNNNNNNNNNNNNNNNNNNNNNNNNNNNNNNNNNNNNNNNNNNNNNNNNNNNNNNNNNNNNNNNNNNNNNNNNNNNNNNNNNNNNNNNNNNNNNNNNNNNNNNNNNNNNNNNNNNNNNNNNNNNNNNNNNNNNNNNNNNNNNNNNNNNNNNNNNNNNNNNNNNNNNNNNNNNNNNNNNNNNNNNNNNNNNNNNNNNNNNNNNNNNNNNNNNNNNNNNNNNNNNNNNNNNNNNNNNNNNNNNNNNNNNNNNNNNNNNNNNNNNNNNNNNNNNNNNNNNNNNNNNNNNNNNNNNNNNNNNNNNNNNNNNNNNNNNNNNNNNNNNNNNNNNNNNNNNNNNNGAGGAGUUUUAUUCAAAGCGAACUGUCAAGGGGGUCCCAUAAAUCACCCAACCGCGUAAGGGACGCAAAAUCAAGGAACAUAACACCGGUAUGACGGAAACUAGGGCGGUAAGAGUGGAACAAAACACCAGGCAUAAGGCCGAGCCUUCCACCCUUUACCAAGUAUAUGGUUGAAUUAAUAAUAUAAGAGAUAUUGUGAUAUCCCAACAUAAACAUAAUCCAACAUGGAGCAAUCUUCAUCUUCACCUGCAACUAGCAACGCUAUAAGAGGGGCUGAGCAAAGCAGUAACAUAGCCAAACAAUGGUUUGCUAGGAAGGGUGACAAAGGUUAGAGGUUCAUGGCAAUUUGGGAGGCUUGAGGAGCAUGUGAUAGGUAGCGCAGCAUAGCGAUAGAACGAAGCAACUAGCAUAGCAAUGAUAGUAGUGCGAUCCAAGGUGACGGUCAUCUUGCUUGAAAUCCCGCUGGGCAGAAGAACGAGUCCAUGAAGAAGAUGAAGCCACGAAGACGAACCAAGCGUAGACGAACGAAUCCUCACGAUCGCAACGAAACGGGAACUAUCGAGAAGAAGCACACAACAUGGUAAACACACCACACAUGAACAAGACAUGAUGCUCAAUCAAGUAUGAUGCAUGACAAGGCUACAUGAAGCUACUCAUGGCAAGAGAUGAUGCAUACAAGAACAACACAACAAAGCAAGUUUAAAUGAGGCCGGAAACAACAUAUGACAAUUCCGGUAAGUCCUCAUAUGCAAAUUUCGAAAUUGGUCCAGAUCUGAAUAAGCCUUAUGUUCAAGUUGUUAAACAGCAAGUUAAGAUGCACCAAAAUGAUCUACACAAAAUUCUAGUCAAGUUACAUAUAAAGUUCAUUAGAUUCGGAGCUACGACCUAGAAGAUAUGAGCAAAACAAGUUAAACAUGGCAUUGAUACAAAAUGCAAUCAAACAUCAAGCAAACACAUUCAAAACAUGGAUCCAACAAGGUAACAUGAAACUACAUGCAAAAGUAAGCAAGUUUCAUAUAGAGCAUGCUCAAAACGGAGCAACGGUGCAACACAUACACUCCAAACAAGAUAUAGCAACAAUCUGUCCAAAAUAGCAACUAGGCAUCUUGCAAGCAUCAAAACAAUAUGCUAUAGCACACCAGCAUGAAAACAAAUGACAUGGGCAUGAUGUACAGGUAAAGCAUUACAAAACAUGAACACUGAGUUAUCUUCAGAAAUCACUAGAACAUGCUCAAAAGGACAUGGCAAGAUUGCAGAUAAUAACAGUUCACAGACUUGGCAGAAAAUCACUGGACAUGACAGAAAUAACAUCAGAUUGCAAAGUUUAGAGCUAUCAAACAACAUGCUACAGGAACAUAUCGUAGCAAACAAAGGCAUGGCGUGAAUCUACUAAUUGCAUAGAACAAAAGUCCCUUACUGAUCACGAUCCAAAAAGGCACAGAAGAUAUGAUGGCAUCAAUGUAAACAUAGCAAGUUUCAUAAACAGAUUCAGACUUGGAAGAAAAACAGAGCAUGGCAGAAAUAACGAUAAGUAGGCAUGUUGGUGAGCUUGAACCACUCACCACAGAGCAAUACAUGGCAUGACAAGGUAACCAGCAGUAAUAUUGCACAAAUAUGAAGUUAAGCAUGGCAAGAGCAAGUUCAUAGGGUGGAUGGAUCACUAUCAAAACACAUGGCAAAAACUGGACUUAAUGUUAACAGGCUGACAGCAACAUUAUUUAGCAAUUUGAGAGCAAGUUUGCAACAAGGCUACAGCAGGCUAUAAAUGCAACUAAGGGCAUGUAUGGAGAGAGCAUAACAUGUAUAAUAAAACAUCCUUAGUGAACAUCUCCAGAUUAUGCAUAGAAUGACUUUUAGCAGCAGGUUUACAUGGCAUCACAACAUAACAGACUUAGACUUGGCAGAAAUGACCGUCACAGAAAUCAGCAACAUCACGGAGGCUAUUUUGCAUGCUUGUGCUAGUCACCACAUAGAUCACAAAAAUACAAGGCAAACACCACUGUAAAUCUGGCAUGAUGUAGUGCAAAACACAUGUAGAGUUCAUGGUCAUAAGAUGCACACACAAAAUGCAAUAAAAAAGACAAAUCAUCAAGUUCUGUAAACAGACAGUAGUUAACAUCAUAUAGCACUCUUGCAAAGAUGAUUAGGGCAUCAACAUGACCUCAAACAAGCAUGGCACAAUGGAACAAAAUGAAGAGCAUCUCAUGAUGAACAUUUCUAUAUAUUAUACAUGCGUAACAGAGCAGUACACGCAAAGAUACAAGGUACACAAGAUGCAUGCAUCAUGUGGAAAAUCUGGGGACUUGGUGGAAUUUCAACCUCGAAGAAAACGGGACAAAGCCAUGCGGAUGGAGGGGUCCGGGACGGAGGGGCCGUUUGGAUGGUUGAACGGGUGGAUCUGGUCCACCUGACCAGAUCCGGCGAGGACGACGGCGCCGGCGAGCUUCCGGCGAUGGCACGGUGGGGAAGGCGCGGGGUGACGGGGACGGCGCGGUGCGGAGUCCGGCGGCGCGGAAGCCGAGGGAGGCGGCGGCGAGGCGCGGGAGAGACGCGCCGGCGGGCGGCGCCGGCGAGGGNNNNNNNNNNNNNNNNNNNNNNNNNNNNNNNNNNNNNNNNNNNNNNNNNNNNNNNNNNNNNNNNNNNNNNNNNNNNNNNNNNNNNNNNNNNNNNNNNNNNNNNNNNNNNNNNNNNNNNNNNNNNNNNNNNNNNNNNNNNNNNNNNNNNNNNNNNNNNNNNNNNNNNNNNNNNNNNNNNNNNNNNNNNNNNNNNNNNNNNNNNNNNNNNNNNNNNNNNNNNNNNNNNNNNNNNNNNNNNNNNNNNNNNNNNNNNNNNNNNNNNNNNNNNNNNNNNNNNNNNNNNNNNNNNNNNNNNNNNNNNNNNNNNNNNNNNNNNNNNGGCGCACGGUGGUUGGCGCGGACGGAUGUCGUGGCGGCGGCGCUAGGUGUUGUUGGCGGCGACAAGUGGCAGCGGGGAAGGGGUUUGGCGCGGGAUCCGAGGAGGGUGGCGGCGGGACAGAGGUAGGGGAAGGUUUAGGGGUAGGUUUAGACUAAGGUUUGUCCAAAAUGGACUAGGGGUGUUUAAAUAGGUAGGGAGGCCUAGGGUUAGGGGGGUUUGAGACCGAUUCGGAGCCUCCGAUCGUGAUCCGACGGAUCCGAUCGCGAGGGGGGUUAGGUAGGUCUAGGUGGGCUGCAGGGGGGCUGUGUAGAAAGGCCAAGAGAUGUAGGAGAGAAGAGAGAGAGGCCCGGCAACAGUUUCCGGAGACCGAAAACGUCCGACGAAGGUACCGGCAACGGUACUGCUACAAGUUUAACGAUUGGGAAAACAAACGAGUUCCGAAUACGACGAAACUUGACAGGCGGUCUACCUUAUAAUAAGACCGCACACCAACUUUCAACCCAUUCCGAGAACGCUUUUCUCCCACUCACGAAACAAGGUCUGAGAGGGCGAUGGGCGCGUGCGAGAGUGUCGGAUCGCGAAACGAACAACGGGGAAAAGAACCGGAUGCAAGUUUUGAAAAAUAUGAUGAUGCAAUGCAUAUGAUGACAUGGCAAAAUGCAACACACAAGCAAAUGACAAGGCAAGGACGGCGAAUAACUGGCAGACACCUGGCGCAUCGGAUCCGGGGCGUUACAGGUCUCUCGCUUGAAGGUUCUGUGCUUAGGUGUUAUCUUUGGUUGAAACUGUUCUUUUUGAGCCCACGGUACUACCGCAAGGGGGCGCGGUACUUCCGCACCCAGCGCGGCAGUAAUUUUUUACUGCCGCCUGGGGGAGCGGUACUACGGCCUCGGUGCGGUACUUCCGCCCGGGCGGUAGUACCGCGAUGACGUGCGGUACUACCGCGAGAGGAGUGAGCAGUACUUCCGCACCCAGCGCGGCAGUAAUUUUUUACUGCCACCUGGGGGAGCGGUACUACGGCCUCGGUGCGGUACUUCCGCCCGGGCGGUAGUACCGCGAUGACGUGCGGUACUUCCGUGCGGUCAAGGGCGCGUGGGGGUUAAACACGGGCAGGGGAGUUCUAACUCCCCCAUACCCAUUCGUCUCUCUCCCCACUUCAUCUCUCUCUCUCUCUCUCGCUCAAGCACGGCGCCGGAGGUCCUCGCCGGAUCUCCGUCUCCGGCCGCUCUCCUUGGAUUCCGACCGGUGGGAUCGUUCCCCACCACUCCCUCUUGCCAUGGAACAAGGUUUCUUCCCAAUCCCUCUCUUUUUCUUUUUCGUCUUGUUGCUUUUAGGUUUUGGGGAGAUGCAAGUUGUUCUUGAGAUUUUAGGCCAAAUCUAUGCAAGAGUAGGAUGUAGGAGAGUAGUUUUGUGUAGUGUUGGUACUUGCUAUAGUUGUCCCGUGAUGGAUUUGAUCGACCGUAGUACCGCGUGUUGACACGGUUGUGCUCAGAUCUCCAUGGCCAUUUCGGAUCUGCAACCGUGCGGUACUACCGCUCCUCAGGUGCGGUACUACCGCCCUGCUGGUGCGGUACUACCGCACGUCCGGUACUACCGCCCUGUGGGUGCGGUACUACCGCACGUCCGGUACUACCGCUCCUUGGAGCGGUACUACCGCACGUGGCACAACACGCGUUACUACCGUUGUCUCAAAUCCCUCUUGUGGCACUUCUCACAUGCCAAGUCUAUUUGUUUCUCCUGCUUUGCUGUGAUCUUUGCAUUGAUCCUUCUCGCGUUUCGUGCGUGAUUGUUUUGUGGUGUGUGUUUAGGUGGUGGCUCACGUGCUCCGGCUCACCGCUCCAAUCCAAGCCGUGACACGGGAUCCAAGCGUAUGCGCAACACAGAGGAAGCAGAGGGCUCCAAUGCCCCCCAACGCAGAACCAAGACCUCUGCCACCAAAGAGAAGGAACCCGCCAAGGGUAUGGAUGAGAUACCACUUGCUGAGUUCAUCGCUCGGAGAAAGAUCAAUCCGUAUGGAAACCCUCGUGCUAACUUUCGAGGGAAUGACCUAUUCUGGACCAAGCAGCAGAAUCUCAUUUAUCUGGAUGUCAUCAAGGCCAAGCAAAAUACCCAUGUGGAGGUGAAGUGGAUCAACAUGCAUCACAUGCGCAAAGAGGCGCACCGUGAAUACUUUGGUGAGGCUUUGGACCUCGUAGAGCAAUUUGGCAUUGUGCAUAUCAUCUCAUUCCACAAAGACUAUGAUCCUGAGAUCCUUGCUCAGUUUUUUGCAUCCGUGCAUUUUCAUCCCAAUGAGGAAAGGACCAUGACUUGGAUGACCAAUGGCCGACAGCUGACUGCUACUUGGAAGGAAUUCAUGACCCUGCUUGGGGUUCUGGAUGAGAGGCUCGCCACACCCCAAGGUGUUCGCCCUCAUGCCAAUCCUGAGUCAGCCAACAAGAACAAGCUCAUGCCCAACCUUGUGGAGAAGAAGCUCUCCAAUGGCAAGUCAACUUGGGUACUCAACUCCUUUCUUGACAUCAUGCACCGGAUCUUCCGCAACACUCUCUUCCCACGCAUUGGGGACAAGGACAAGGUGCAUGCCUAUCUGGUGGAUAUGAUGCUCCUGUGUGAAGAUGCUCGCAACUCUCAGACACAGCCACUUGAUGUCUCACAUAUCAUGUGGAUUGAGCUUCGGUUUGCGGUUUACAACCGCAAGCUCCCCAUCUAUGGACCUUAUUUGUUUCUGUUGAUCUCGGCUACUUGGGAGCGGGUCUACCCUCAGGAUGAGUUUGAGGCCCCUGGUUGGAUCCGGCAUGAGCCAAUCAACCUCCGUAUCAAGCCUCAGUGGGCCAACACUACCUCUCGUGCUGAUACUGCGGCUGCCAUGGACGUGGAUGCAAAUGAGGAUGAGGAGGAGGCAGCAGACGAGGACAGCUCUGAGGGUUGCAUCCCUCCCACCUCUGAGCCUUCUUGGGCUAAGCGACUGAGGAACAAGAUGAAGAUGUUGUUCUGUAUGCAAGCAAAGGGGCAGUACCAGACCCAUGUGGCUUCCAAGGAGACUCGCCGCCGCGACAAGCGGAUUUUCAGGACCUUUGGCGAGAACAUAUCUAGCGGGUCAGAGGUGAACAUUGUUGGAAAUAUGCCCUAGAGGCAAUAAUAAAUUGGUUAUUAUUAUAUUUCCUUGUUCAUGAUAAUCGUUUAUUAUCCAUGCUAAAAUUGUAUUGAUAGGAAACUCAGAUACAUGUGUGGAUACAUAGACAACACCAUGUCCCUAGUAAGCCUCUAGUUGACUAGCUCGUUGAUCAAUAGAUAGUUACGGUUUCCUGACCAUGGACAUUGGAUGUCGUUGAUAACGGGAUCACAUCAUUAGGAGAAUGAUGUGAUGGACAAGACCCAAUCCUAAGCCUAGCACAAGAUCGUGUAGUUCGUUUGCUAAGAGCUUUUCUAAUGUCAAGUAUCAUUUCCUUAGACCAUGAGAUUGUGCAACUCCCGGAUACCGUAGGAAUGCUUUGGGUGUACCAAACGUCACAACGUAACUGGGUGACUAUAAAGGUGCACUAAAGGUAUCUCCGAAAGUGUCUGUUGGGUUGGCACGAAUCGAGACUGGGAUUUGUCACUCCGUGUAAACGGAGAGGUAUCUCUGGGCCCACUCGGUAGGACAUCAUCAUAAUGUGCACAAUGUGACCAAGGAGUUGAUCACGGGAUGACGUGUUACGGAACGAGUAAAGAGACUUGCCGGUAACGAGAUUGAACAAGGUAUCAGGAUACCGACGAUCGAAUCUCGGGCAAGUAACAUACCGAUAGACAAAGGGAAUUGAAUACGGGAUUGAUUGAAUCCCCGACAUCAUGGUUCAUCCGAUGAGAUCAUCGUGGAACAUGUGGGAGCCAACAUGGGUAUCCAGAUGCCGCUGUUGGUUAUUGGCCGGAAAACGUCUCGGCCAUGUCUGCAUGGUUCCCGAACCCGUAGGGUCUACACACUUAAGGUUCGAUGACGCUAGGGUUAUAGGGAAUAGAUAUACGUGGUUACUGAAUGUUGUUCGGAGUCCCGGAUGAGAUCCCGGACGUCACGAGGAGUUCCGGAAUGGUCCGGAGGUAAAGAUUUAUAUAUGGGAAGUCAUGUUUUGGUCACCGGAAAAGUUUCGGGUGCUAUCGGUAACGUACCGGGACCACCGGGAGGGUCCCGGGGGUCCACCAGGUGGGGCCACCGGCCCCAGAGGGCUGCGUGGGCCAAGUGUGGGAAGGGACCAGCCCCUAGGUGGGCUGGUGCGCCUCCACAAGGGGCCCAGGGCGCAGGAAGGGGGGGAAAGGGGAAACCCUAGGCUCAGAUGGGCCUAAGGCCCACCUAGUGGUGCGCCCCCUUCUCCCCCCUUGGCCGCCCCAAUAGAUGGAUCUAGGGCUGGCCGCACCCCUUGGGGGGGGGGAAACCCUAGAUGGGGGCGCAGCCCCUCCCCCUCCCCUAUAUAUAGUGGGGUUUUUUGGGGCUGCCAUAGAUAUGAGAACAUCUCUCUCUUGGCGCAGCCCUACCCCUCUCCCUCCUCGUCUCUUGCGGUGCUUGGCGAAGCCCUGCUGGAGUGCCACGCUCCUCCAUCACCACCAUGCUGUUGUGCUGCUGCUGGACGGAGUCUUCCCCAACCUCUCCCUCUCUCCUUGCUGGAUCAAGGCGCGGGAGACGUCAUCGGGCUGCACGUGUGUUGAACGCGGAGGCGCCGUGGUUCGGCGCUUAGAUCGGAAUCAACCGCGAUCUGAAUCGCUACGAGUACGACUCCUUCAUCCGCGUUCUUGCAACGCUUCCGCAUCGCGGUCUACAAUGGUAUGUAGAUGCACUCCCCUUUCCCUCGGUGCUAGAUUACUCCAUAGAUUGAUCUUGGUGAUGCGUAGAAAAUUUUGAAUUUCUGCUACGUUCCCCAACAGUGGCAUCAUGAGCUAGGUCUAUGCGUAGUUUCUAUGCACGAGUAGAACACAAAGUAGUUGUGGGCGUCGAUUUUGUCAAUUUACUUGCCAUUAUUAGUCUUAUCUUGAUUCGGCGGCAUCGUGGGAUGAAGCGACCCAGACCGACCUUACACGUACACUUACGUGAGACAGGUUCCACCGACUGACAUGCACUAGUUGCAUAAGGUGGCUAGCGGGUGUCUGUCUCUCCCACUUUAGUCGGAUCGGAUUCGAUGAAAAGGGUCCUUAUGAAGGGUAAAUAGAAAUUGGCAUAUCACGUUGUGGCUUUUGCGUAGGUAAGAAACGUUCUUGCUAGAAACCCAUAGCAGCCACGUAAAACAUGCAACAACAAUUAGAGGACGUCUAACUUGUUUUUGCAGGGUAUGCUAUGUGAUGUGAUAUGGCCAAAAGGAUGUGAUGAAUGAUAUAUGUGAUGUAUGAGAUUGAUCAUGUUCUUGUAAUAGGAAUCACGACUUGCAUGUCGAUGAGUAUGACAACCGGCAGGAGCCAUAGGAGUUGUCUUAAUUUAUUGUAUGACCUGCGUGUCAAUGAAAAACGCCAUGUAAUUACUUUACUUUAUUGCUAACCGUUAGCCAUAGAAGUAGAAGUAAUAGUUGGCGAGACAACUUCAUGAAGACACGAUGAUGGAGAUCAUGGUGUCAUGCCAGUGACGAAGGUGAUCAUGCCGCGCCUCGAAGAUGGAGAUCAAAAGGCGCAAGAUGAUAUUGGCCAUAUCACGUCACUUUAUGAUUUGCAUGUGAUGUUUAUCAUGUUUACAUCUUAUUUGCUUAGAACGACGGUAGCAUAAAUAAGAUGAUCCCUCACUAAAAUUUCAAGAGAUGUGUUCCCCCUAACUGUGCACCGUUGCGAAGGUUCGUUGUUUCGAAGCACCACGUGAUGAUCGGGUGUGAUAGAUUCUAACGUUCGAAUACAACGGGUGUUGACGAGCCUAGCAUGUACAGACAUGGCCUCGGAACACAUGCGAAACACUUAGGUUGACUUGACGAGCCUAGCAUGUACAGACAUGGCCUCGGAACACAAGAGACCGAAAGGUCGAACAUGAGUCAUAUAGUAGAUACGAUCAACAUGGAGAUGUUCACCGAUGAUGACUAGUCCGUCUCACGUGAUGAUCGGACACGGCCUAGUUUGACUCGGAUCAUGUAUCACUUAGAUGACUAGAGGGAUGUCCAUCUGAGUGGAGUUCAUUAAAUAAUCAGAUGAACUUAAUUAUCAUGAACAUAGUCAAAAGGUCUUUGCAAAUUAUGUCAUAGCUUACGCUUUAGUUCUACUGUUUAAGAUAUGUUCCUAGAGAAAAUUUAGUUGAAAGUUGGUAGUAGCAAUUAUGCGGACUGGGUCCGUAAACUGAGGAUCGUCCUCAUUGCUGCACAGAAGGCUUAUGUCCUUAAUGCACCGCUCGGUGUGCUGAACCUCAGCGUCGUCUAUAGAUGUUGCAUCUGACAUACACGUUUUGAUGACUACGUAAUAGUUCAGUGCCUAAUGCUAACGGUUUAGAAUUGUGGCACCAAAGACGUUUUGAAACGUCGCAGAACAUAUGAGAUGUUCCGAAGACUGAAAUUGGGAUUUCGGACUAGUGCCCACGUCAAGAGGUAUGAGACCUCUGACAAGUUUCUUAAGCCUGCAGACUAAGGGAGAAAAGCUCAAUCGUUGAGCAUGUGCUCAGAUUGUCUGAGUGCCACAAUCGCUUGAAUCAAGUGGGAGUUAAUCUUCCAGAUGAGAUAGUGAUGGUUCUCCAUAGUCACUGCCACCAAGCUAUUAGAGCUUCGUGAUGAACUAUAACAUAUCAGGGAUAGAUAUGAUGAUCCUUGAGCUAUUCGGGACGUUUGACACCGCGAAAGUAGAAAUCAAAUAGGAGCAUCAAUUGUUGAUGGUUAAUAAAACCACUAGUUUCAAGAAGGGCAAGGGCAAAAGGGAUACUUCAUGAAACAGCAAAUCAUUUGCUGUUCUAGUGAAGAAUCCCAAGGUUAAACCCAAACCCGAGACUAAGUUCUCUUGUAAUGAGGGGAACGGUCACUGAAGCAGAACUACCCUAGAUACUUGGUAGAUGAGAAGGCAAGCAAGGUCGACAGAAGUAUAUUGGAUAUACAUUAUAUGAAUGUGUACUUUACUAGUACUCCUAGCAGCACCAGGGUAUUAGAUACCGGUUCGGUUGCUAAGUGUUAGUAACUCGAAAUAAAAGCUGCGGAAUAAACGGAGACUAGCUAAAGGUGAGAUGACGAUAUGUGUUGGAAGUGUUUCCAAGGUUGAUGUGAUCAAGCGUCGCAUGCUCCCUCUACCAUCGAGAUUGGUGUUAAACCUAAAUAAUUGUUAUUUGGUGUUUGCGUUGAGCAUAAACAUGAUUGGAUUAUGUUUAUCGCAAUACGGUUAUUCAUUUAAGGAGAAUAAUGGUUACUCUGUUUAUUUGAAUAAUACCUUCAAUGGUCUUGCACCUAAAAUGAAUCUCGAUCGCAGUGAUACACAUGUUCGUGCCAAAAGAUAUAAAAUAGUAAUGAUAGUACCACAUACUUGUGGCACUGCCAUUUGAGUCAUAUUGGUAUAGAACGCAUGAAGAAGCUCCAUGUAGAUGGAUCUUUGGACUCACUCGUUUUUGAAAAGAUUGAGACAUGCGAACCAUGUCUAUUGGUAUGAAGAAACUCCAUGCAGAUGGAUCGUUUGGACUCACUUGAUUUUGAAUCACUUGAGACAUGCAAAUCAUACCACAUGGGCAAGAUGACUGAAAGGCCUCAUUUUCAGUAAGAUGGAACAAGAGAGCAACUUGUUGGAAGUAAUGCAUUUUGAUGUAUGCAGUCCAAUGAGUGAUGAGGCAUGCAGUGGAUAUCUUUAUGUUCUUACUUCACAGAUGAUUUGAGUAGAUGCUGAGUGUAUUUACUUGAUGAAACACAAGUCUGAAUUAUUGAAAGGUUCAAGUAAUUUCAGAGUGAAGUUGAAGAUCGUCGUGACAAGAGGAUAAAAUGUCUGUGAUAUGAUCAUAGAGAUGAGUAUCUGAGUUACGAGCUUGGCACACAAUUAAGACAUUGUGGAAAGUGUUUCACAAUUAAUACCACCUGGAACACCACAGUGUGAUGGUGUGUCCGAACAUCAUAACUGCACCCUAUUGGAUGUGGUGCAUACCAUGAUGUCUCUUAUCGAAUUACCACUAUCGUUUAUGGGUUAGGCAUUAGAGACAACCGCAUUCACUUUAAAUAGGGCACCACGCAAUUCCGUUGAGACGACACCGUAUGAACUAUGGUUUAGAGAAACCUAAGCUGUCGUUUCUUAAAAGUUUGGGGCUGCGACGCUUAUGUGAAAAAGUUUCAGGCUGAUAAGCUCGAACCCAAAGCGGAUAAAUGCAUCUUCAUAGAAUACCCAAAACAGUUGGGUAUACCUCCUAUUUCAGAUCUGGAAGCAAAAGUGAUUGUUUUUAGAAACGGGUCCUUUCUCGAUUAUGGAGGUGAAAAGGAGUUCGUCGUAAAAGGUUACGUCGAUGCAAACUUUGACACUAAUCCGGAUGACUCUGAGUAGUAAACUGGAUUCGUAUAGUAGAGCAGUUAUUUGAAAUGGCUCCAAGUAGCGCGUGGUAGCAUCCACAAGAUGACAUAGAUAUUCGUAAAGCACACAAGGAUCUGAAAGGUUCAGACCCGUUGACUAAUAACCUCUCUCACAAGCAUAACAUGAUCAAACCAGAACUCAUUGAGUGUUAAUCACAUAGUGAUGUGAACUAGAUUGUUGACUCUAGUAAACUCUUUGGAUGUUGGUCACAUGGUGAUGUGACCUGUGAGUGUUAAUCACAUGGUGAUGUGAACUAGAUUAUUGACUCUAGUGCAAGUGGGAGACUGUUGGAAAUAUGCCCUAGAGGCAAUAAUAAAUUGGUUAUUAUUAUAUUUCCUUGUUCAUGAUAAUCGUUUAUUAUCCAUGCUAAAAUUGUAUUGAUAGGAAACUCAGAUACAUGUGUGGAUACAUAGACAACACCAUGUCCCUAGUAAGCCUCUAGUUGACUAGCUCGUUGAUCAAUAGAUAGUUACGGUUUCCUGACCAUGGACAUUGGAUGUCGUUGAUAACAGGAUCACAUCAUUAGGAGAAUGAUGUGAUGGACAAGACCCAAUCCUAAGCCUAGCACAAGAUCGUGUAGUUCGUUUGCUAAGAGCUUUUCUAAUGUCAAGUAUCAUUUCCUUAGACCAUGAGAUUGUGCAACUCCCGGAUACCGUAGGAAUGCUUUGGGUGUACCAAACGUCACAACGUAACUGGGUGACUAUAAAGGUGCACUAAAGGUAUCUCCGAAAGUGUCUGUUGGGUUGGCACGAAUCGAGACUGGGAUUUGUCACUCCGUGUAAACGGAGAGGUAUCUCUGGGCCCACUCGGUAGGACAUCAUCAUAAUGUGCACAAUGUGACCAAGGAGUUGAUCACGGGAUGAUGUGUUACGGAACGAGUAAAGAGACUUGCCGGUAACGAGAUUGAACAAGGUAUCAGGAUACCGACGAUCGAAUCUCGGGCAAGUAACAUACCGAUAGACAAAGGGAAUUGAAUACGGGAUUGAUUGAAUCCCCGACAUCAUGGUUCAUCCGAUGAGAUCAUCGUGGAACAUGUGGGAGCCAACAUGGGUAUCCAGAUGCCGCUGUUGGUUAUUGGCCGGAGAACGUCUCGGCCAUGUCUGCAUGGUUCCCGAACCCGUAGGGUCUACACACUUAAGGUUCGAUGACGCUAGGGUUAUAGGGAAUAGAUAUACGUGGUUACUGAAUGUUGUUCGGAGUCCCGGAUGAGAUCCCGGACGUCACGAGGAGUUCCGGAAUGGUCCGGAGGUAAAGAUUUAUAUAUGGGAAGUCCUGUUUUGGUCACCGGAAAAGUUUCGGGUGCUAUCGGUAACGUACCGGGAACACCGGGAGGGUCCCGGGGGUCCACCAGGUGGGGCCACCGGCCCCAGAGGGCUGCGUGGGCCAAGUGUGGGAAGGGACCAGCCCCUAGGUGGGCUGGUGCGCCUCCACAAGGGGCCCAGGGCGCAGGAAGGGGGGAAAGGGGAAACCCUAGGCUCAGAUGGGCCUAAGGCCCACCUAGUGGUGCGCCCCCCUCUCCCCCCCUUGGCCGCCCCCUAGAUGGAUCUAGGGCUGGCCGCACCCCUUGGGGGGGAAACCCUAGAUGGGGGCGCAGCCCCUCCCCCUCCCCUAUAUAUAGUGGGGGUUUUUGGGGCUGCCAUAGAUAUGAGAACAUCUCUCUCUUGGCGCAGCCCUACCCCUCUCCCUCCUCGUCUCUUGCGGUGCUUGGCGAAGCCCUGCUGGAGUGCCACGCUCCUCCAUCACCACCAUGCUGUUGUGCUGCUGCUGGACGAAGUCUUCCCCAACCUCUCCCUCUCUCCUUGCUGGAUCAAGGCGUGGGAGACGUCAUCGGGCUGCACGUGUGUUGAACGCGGAGGCGCCGUGGUUCGGCGCUUAGAUCGGAAUCAACCGCGAUCUGAAUCGCUACGAGUACGACUCCUUCAUCCACGUUCUUGCAACGCUUCCGCAUCGCGAUCUGCAAUGGUAUGUAGAUGCACUCCCCUUCCCCUCGGUGCUAGAUUACUCCAUAGAUUGAUCUUGGUGAUGCGUAGAAAAUUUUGAAUUUCUGCUACGUUCCCCAACAAACAUCACCCCAGAGGCAGAAUGGCUGCACAAGCAGGGCUAUCGGUGAACCGAGUCUGAGGAGGAGUCCGUCCCAGCUGCAGAGUCCGACGAGGAGCGUGCCAGUGACUACUCCGCUUGAGCCACCACUUUUGCUGUAGGUGUCCUCUCUGCCUUUUUGGCGUCUCGAUGCCAAAGGGGGAGAGAGUGUAGGAUUUGCUGCGAGUUGUGUCGUGUUUGGGUUAGUUGAACUUCGUUUAUUUCGUUUGCUUUGGUUUGCUUUGGUUUGUGCUCGUGAGACCUUCUAUCAUAUGGUAUAAGACAUAUGCACUCUAUCGUACCGUAGUGAGCUUAUUCUAUCUUGUGCUUAUUACAUUUUGCUCCUGUCUAUCUUGCUUAGCUUUAGCCUAAUAGCAAGAUUUGCCAUGUCUAUAAAAUAUAGGGGGAGUGUUGAUCCUAGUAUGUGUGCCGUGCAGUCCAAAGCACUCAUCGAGAUAGCACACAUCUAGGGGGAGCCCGUCUAUAUUUUAAAUUGGGGUUUGCCCUUGCUCUUUGCGUUAUACCCUCGUGCAAAUCCCGUGUUGUCAUCAAUCCACCAAAAAGGGGGAGACUGUAAGGGCAUUUUUAUCCCUUAGUUGGUUUUGGUGAUUGAUGACAAUGCUUUUGCGGACUAAUCAUGUGCAUCAAAUAUUUCAGAUAUAUUGACUAGGCACAAGAUGAUUGGGUUCCCCUCAAAGGCUAAAGAAGACGGCGUUUCUCUUCGGUUCUUUUCGGUGGUAUUGAGUCGUAGGGAAGCCGUACUAUUAAGAGGGGGUUCGCUUUGGAAAGGUUGGGUGGAUUCAUCACGUAUACACCGUCCCUUGCACCUCCUUUCCUCUUGCCUUUGGAGCAUCCUAAGUUUUCCUUGUCUAUGCAAUUAUAGCUCUUGUCUGCCGAACUAGGAAGUGCGGUAGUACUGCUCGUCAGAGCGGUAGUACCGCAGGACCUUGCGGUAGUACCACCCGCUGGUGCGGUUGUACCGCAAGGCCCCACGGUAGUACCGCUUCUGGUAAGCGGUAGUUCUGUGGUCCCUGCUUAGUUCCGGAACUACGCGGCUGGUGCGGUAGUACCGCAACCUCGCGCGGUAGUACCGCGGCUGGCUUACGGUACUACCGCGUCGGGUUUUUGCAUCGACUCCAACUCUGCGGAAGUAGCCACGGAUGUAAUUUUUUAUAUCCGUGCCUUCCCAUCCCUGGACAGCCCCUGCCUUGCGGUAGUACCGCAAGCGGGAGCGGUAGUACCGCGCCAGCAGUACUACCGCCCUCUGCCUUAGUGCAUGUGUGGCUGUUCUGGUCUCUGCUGCGUGGGCGGUAGUACCGCGGGGCUCUACAGUAGUACCGCGUGCCCCUGCGGUAGUACCGCGCCUCAGGUGCGGUAGUACCGCGCUGCGCGACUGAGUUGGUGGAUAACGGUUGGAUUUGUUCUUCCACUAUAUAAGGGGUGUCUUCCUCCUCUAGUUGACUACCUCUUCCACCUCCAAGCUCCAUUGUUGCUCCAACUUCAUUUUCGCCCGAUCUCCUCCCCUAGCCAAUCAAACUUGUUGAUUCUCUAGGGAUUGGUUGAGGAGGCCCCGAUCUACACUUCCACCAAGAGAUAUUUGAAUCCCCCCACUAAUCCCUUGUGGAUCUUGUUACUCUUGGGUGUUUGAGCAACCUAGACGGUUGAGGUCACCGUGGAGCCAUAGUCCAUUGUGGUGAAGCUUCGUGGUAUCGUUGGGAGCCUCCAAUUAAGUUGUGGAGAUUGCCCCAACCUUGUUUGUAAAGGUUCGGUCACCGCCUCCAAGGGCACCAAUAGUGGAAUCACGGCAUCUCGCAUUGUGUGAGGGCGUGAGGAGAAUACGGUGGCCCCUAGUGGCUUCUUGGGGAGCAUUGUGCCUCCACACCGCUCCAACGGAGACGUACCUCCUCUCAAAGGGAAGGAACUUCGGUAACACAUCCUCGUCUUCAUCGGCUCCACUCUUGGUUAUCUCGUGCCUUUACUUGUGCAAGCUUAUUUGUGCCUUAUCUCUUGCUUGCGUGUAUGCUUAUUGUUGUUGCAUCAUAUAGGUUGCUCACCUAGUUGCAUUUCUAGACAACCUACUUUGAUGCAAAGUUUAAAUUGGUAAAGAAAAGCUAAAACUUGUUAGUUGCCUAUUCACCCCCCUCUAGUCAACUAUAUCGAUCCUUUCAUUAUGGUUAUUGUUAAGUUGCAGUUAGGGUUAUUGUUUCAUAUAUAUGUUAGGGGUUUGUAUUUUGUGUUAAUCUUCGAAUGACUACUUGUGGGAUAUAUGUUGUGUUGUGUUGUUUUAGUUAUUGUAGGGAUGGGAAGAACAUGUGUUUAUGUUCAUUAUGUGCGCAAAGAUGUCCUUUUGAUAGGAAAUAUUAAACCGGACCCGGACGAGCUUGACAUGGUGUUUGAGAGUAGUCCUAGCUAUGCGGGGAUCUUGGACCCAAGUGACAUCGUUGAGUUGGGGGGAAGACAUAAUGUGGGUUUUGGAAUGCACAUGGGAUUCAAGAUGAAAUAUCUUGCAUUACCUAAUCUAUCCUUGGUGCCAUAUGGUUCCAUUCCACGUGUAACACAACACAACAACACAACAUUGAUGCCGAGUUCUCAUGAAAGCAUGGGAAUGAGUGAUGUAAAGUCAAUGUUUACCUGCUCAGCCGUAACAGUGUCCAACUCGUUGGUGUACUGCCUAUACAUCAUAAUGACAUCACUAGUCAUAUCGGUUACCACAUCCCACUUGUAAGCCCAGGUGGGGAGCCGUAGUUCGUCGCCUUGGUCAUCCCAACCCUUGUACGUUAUGUCCUUCGGGCGUUCGACUGGCAGGCGCUCCCAGCUCCAUACAGAAAGUACGAGAAUACAACCACCAAUACAUCCGUCCUUUGAGAUCCUACAAGAAGCAUCAUCCAACUGCACAUAAAGGAAAACAUGGUUCAUUUAAGAGCAAAAUUGCAUUGAUAAUAUAGAAAUGAAGUGAAAACAAACAACUGACUACCUGUCGGUACAAGUAGGCCAGUGCCGUCGAAUCCCAACUCCAUAGGUUGUCGAAGACGGUCAGCGCCUUAAGCCACACCCAUGGAGCAUUCUUGCCAAUGGCGUGAGCAAACAAAGUCCUGGUGAUAACGUACCACAUGUGAACACGAGCAUAUGUCUGCACCACAUCAUCAGUAGCAUCCUGAGGGCAGUGCGCAAAGUUCGCUACAAUCCGAGUGAACUGAGCUCCGGCUGCGACUCUUUCCUUCUUUUCCCCCUCUGCUACUGGAGCCUCUACAGGAGACAUACAAAUAAGGGCCUCCAUCUGCUGGCGUCAACCAUUGAAAUCAGUUCUCAUACAGAUAGGCUUCCCCUCGAUAGGAAGACCGGUGAUCAAGGCGACAUCCAGGAGCGUCACAAUCAUCUCCCGGUCUGAAGAUGGGAAUUGUGCGUGUGCAUCCUCCACGAUCAACCAAUGUGGUGAUUGCUGCAGCAUUGAGGUUCGGCGUCGACCGGCUGACCAGCUGAAUGAAGGGGAGGAGUCCUGUCUGCCUGAUGUAUGGUGUGUACCGCUCAUCGUAGGGCAUGACACCACGAGAGAUCCCAUGAGACCAAAUCUUCAAAGGUUGAAAAAACUGCAAACAAGUAAGCCUGAGUAUUAAAUAUGGGGCAUGUCUAUUUGAACUAAACACAAAUUUCAAAAUACCAACUACUUUAAUUAUUACCUUCUUCCCCGACAUAAAGUUGGCCCGAUGUUGAGUGUCAUAGAAAUCAUUGAGAAGCCAAACCAUCCUACAAAUUUUAAACAGAAAACUAAUGUAAGAUAUACAAUGGAAGCAUGUCCACAAUGAUCACAAAGAUCGUAUGUAUUCACAACAAUGUAGGGUUGCACAAUGGAAGCAUUAUUUACAAGGCUCAAUAAUCUAAGUUUCCGCAACGAAAGCAUUGACAAUUCUCAUCUCAAAUAUCAUCUACACAAAACAUGUCAACAUGUAUAUGGUUUCAUGUCAACAAUCUAGGGUUUCACUAGGGAAGCAUAUAUUAUCAAUACAAAACAACAAUAAUAGGGUUCCACAAUGAUUACAAAUCACCUACAAAUCCUAAUCCCACAAAACUAUUUCAACUUUACAUGCAAAUUUCAAAUCCAAGUAAACUAGGGUUCCACAAAUCUGUGCCUAAGAUUUUCCAAAUAGAAAGGAGAAUCGAAGGAGAUUACCUUCUAGAAGGGACUGAUAAAGAAAUCCAAGAAAGAAAUCGUCUGAUCUUAAAGAUUUUGGGAGAGAGGAGAGCCGCCGCCGGCUUGCCUCUUUGUUCUGCUCUGGAACGAGUGAUGGCUCAGAGCGUGUCGCGGGCCCCAUGGCUAAAAAACCAAACGCUUUUUUAUUCCCGCCACCCAGUCCGCGAAGAACAUCUGUGUGGACGCCGAAUGCCUACAGUGGAAUAUUAAAUUUCUGUGGCGCUCUUUUCACUGCUUAUAUUGUACGCCGAAAGUCCGAAAAUGCAUGUGUCACUGUGGUUGUAGCGCAAGUAGUCGUUUGUAGUUUUUCACCGGCCACCCGCUGCCAACCAAGUGUGCGUCGCUCCUCCUCCGGGAAAAACGAAAAUCUACAGCAUCUCGCUCACGAGACGGGCUAGCACGCUCCAAUGAUGAUUGCGUACAAUGCUUCACUGUGAGGCUAAAUUUCGUGUUUUGACCCUUUUCUGAAACCUAUUCAAGAUCUAACCCUAAUUUGAAAUUUUUUCGAGAUCUGACUUUUUGCUACCGCCAGGGCCAAUGGCGGUAGGGUAUAACAACCUACCGCCAAGGUCCCUGGCGGUAGGGUUGCAUGCCCUACCGCCAUUUUCUUUUAAGUUUUUGAACACAGUACGUGCUCGUGCCUACCGCCAAGCACCUUGACGGUAGGGUUGUACAGGCUACCGCCAGCCCGUUUAACGAUAGGGUUGUACAGACUACCGCCAGCCCGUUUGGCGCCGAAUCACUGAAAAGUACGGGGACAUUUGCGCACAAAAGAAAACGUUGGGAAUCAUCCGGGCAGGAGGGGUCGCGUCACGGCCGGGCUGGACGGUGUGGACGUGCAACCGCCCAUGUGUCCGAUCCCUACGAGGUGUAGACGGUGACACAGCGCGUGUCGCGGGCCCCGCACGGAAAAACCAAACGCUUUUUAUUCCCGCCACCCCAGUCCGGGGAGAACAUCUGUGUGGACGUCGAAUCCCUCCGGCGGAAUAUUAAAUUUCUGUGGCGCUCUUUUCACGGCUUUAUUAUUCUGCACCGAAAGUCGGAAAAUGCAUGUGUCACUGUAGUCGUGGUACAAGUAGUCGCUUGUAGUUUUUCACCGACCGCCCGCUGCCAACAAGUGUGCGUCGCUCCUUCUCCCGGGGAAAACGAUAGUAAUCUAUCGCAGCUCGCUCUCACGAGAUGGGCUGCAAUGAAUGAUUACGUGCAAUGCUUCACGUGAAGCCACACUAUAAACAAAACCGGGCGCGGAUCUCGAUGAGGCUGUCUCCCGGGACGAAGCCUGCCCGCCUGACCGGCGAUGCCCCAGACAAGGACCGCGCCCAAAAGGAAAAUUAGGGGUGAAGGUUUUAUGCCUGGCGCGCUGUUAGCCUCUCGCUUUACUUAAACAACGUAGAUCUCACGAGCUGCGUCCUGCUCUAUGAAGAUUUUGUACGAGUACAAAACUGCCCAUGGCUGGUGCCGGCGUGUGACAGGUUCGUGCGUCUGAUUGGGUGUAGAGGUGUAGACAAGAUCUGCACAUGUGCGGCCACCUCCACACUGUUCACAAGCUGCUGCCUGGCGGGCAUGCACCACACCCCCCAAAGCUCGCCCAUGGACCACGGCUCCACGCCAUGGAGAAAAGAACGGCACCUUGAUUUCUUCUACUUUCUUUUCUCAAAGUGGGCACUGUUUUUUUUAGAACCAAAGUGGGCACUGUUGGUCUAUAAUUAGGGUGCCUAACCACGUGGGCCACCUGGCCCGUAUGUUGGCGAAAAGGCUGGCACGCUAAUUAUGGGCCCUAAUACGGUCCGCAUUAGUUUAUGCCGGUGGCCGCCUAAUGAUGUAGAUUUGAUGCCCACGAUUCCGACUAGACAGACAAGAAAUAAUUCUUUCGCGCUUAUAUUAUUGGGGCGAAUAUUUAGUCCGAUCUUUCGCGGAGAGAAAAGUAGAGCGAGUGUUUGUUCAGGCCAGGGGUACGUCAGUACUUGUAUUUCCAUUCCAAUCAGUCGAUGGUAUUGGUGUCGUACUCCAAGACUGCGGGCGCUAGCCCACAGGUUUGGGGGUACAUGGAGGGCGACGCGACCUCUGUACGUUGCUAUCGGUGGCCCGGGACCCGUCCACGUCGCCCGCACAUAACAUGGUUCCUGUCGUUUUCGCCGCCGUGGAGCCACGUCUGCUAUCAGGCGGGGCGGCGGGCCACCACCCGUAUGGCGCCGUGGGUCCGUGUCGGAGCCCGCGAAUAAUGAAACAGAAGCGCUCCAUCGUCCAUGGUUAGCCUCGUCCGGGCGGCGCAUGGUAUUGCCUGACCCUGUGGGCUCGUCCCGCCCGCGCCGGACUUCUUCUCUCGUCGCGGGUCCGUGCCCGUCCCUGCGCAGGCAUAUAUACCCAGACUCCAGUUUGGUUCAGCACAGCAAACACUCAAUCAAUCUCCCACUCCCGGCGCACCAAAAGCAAGGACGUAGCACGAAAACACGAUGGCCUGCGCCUUCUUCUUCGACGCCGAGCCCGGCGUGCACGCGCUGGACGCGUGCGCGCUCUGCACCAAGCCGCUGGCGCGGGACAGCGACAUCUUCAUGUACAGAGUGGACACGCCCUUCUGCAGCGACGAGUGCCGCCACGAGCAGAUGCAGCUCGACGCCGCCUGCGCCAGGCAGGCCGCCGCCCGGAGGCAGAAGCAGUUCUCGUCGGGAACGGGGGUCCGGACGUGCGCACCGGGAGGCGUCCGUCGCGAGCUGACCGGCGAGAGCGGCAUGCUCCGUACGUGCUUGAGCCAACAAGAUCGGCGUGCACGAAGACGCCAUCGCCCGUGGCCAACUGAUCAGCGCGGGGUCGAGAAGACUCGCCUUGGUUGAAGAAUCAAGACGCGUGUCACUGGAGUUGUUCACGGCAGGCGGCGCUGCACGGGCCACCGGUCAAGUGAUUUGGGUAUAAACGCAGCGGAAAGGAGCUGGACUGGAUCUGAAGAAGUCAAUCAAACAGGAUUCUCCACGGCAUUAGGCGGCCAUGUGUGCCCCUCAGCUCUCCUUUGUUUCGGCAUUGAUGUCAGUUCUGUAUGAGAGCGAAUUUGCAGUGGCACUUUCACUGUCAAUCGAAUGAAAUAAGACAUGUCUUUGUGCAAUC